This 380-nucleotide ribosomal RNA is filed under the name uncultured bacterium. Its description in RNAcentral is "bacterial SSU rRNA". It matches the Rfam family "Bacterial small subunit ribosomal RNA", at positions 48 to 432 of the family's 1533-position model. The record is from RNAcentral.
UUAACACAUGCAAGUCGAGCGGAAAGGCCCUUCGGGGUACUCGAGCGGCGAACGGGUGAGUAACACGUGAGUAAUCUGCCCCAUGCUUCGGGAUAGCCAGCCGAAAGGCUGAUUAAUACCGGAUAUGACGCUCUCCGGCAUCGGGGGGUGUGGAAAGUUUUUUCGGCGUGGGAUGUGCUCGCGGCCUAUCAGCUUGUUGGUGGGGUAAUGGCCUACCAAGGCUUCGACGGGUAGCCGGCCUGAGAGGGUGACCGGCCACACUGGGACUGAGACACGGCCCAGACUCCUACGGGAGGCAGCAGUGGGGAAUAUUGGACAAUGGGCGGAAGCCUGAUCCAGCAACGCCGCGUGAGGGAUGACGGCCUUCGGGUUGUAAACCU